GGCUUAAAGGAGAAGGAAGAUGAUGAGAAAAAGUGAGUGAGAAGAAAGAAGAGGAGGAAGAAAGAGAAACUACCGGCAAGGAAGGACGAAGGUAGAGAAGGAGGAGAUGGGGAAGGAGAGACGGGCAGGCUUGGAAGAGAAGAAAAAGGGGGAGAGGAGAAAGGGGAGGAAGGAGAGAUGGACGGAGAUAAAGAGAGCCACUAUAGAGGAAGAGGGCUCACAAAUGAGCUUGAAGGAAGAGAAAGAAGAGGAGAAAGAUAAGGCAAAGGAGAAGUAGAUAAAAAGAAAGAGGAGGGGAAAGGGGGUCAUGGGUGAGUUUGGAGGAAGAAAAGAAUGAGAAAAAAAUGGAUGAAGAGGAAAGAGAGGAGGGAAAGUAGAGAUUGUCGG
RNAcentral lists this long non-coding RNA (387 nucleotides) under Elaeis guineensis (African oil palm). RNAcentral's name for it is "long non-coding RNA (EGUI_LNC027560)". The record is from RNAcentral. Lineage: Eukaryota; Viridiplantae; Streptophyta; Magnoliopsida; Arecales; Arecaceae.